This is a long non-coding RNA of Phacochoerus africanus (Common warthog), 1409 nucleotides long. RefSeq lists it as uncharacterized. The record is from RefSeq and is a predicted model, not a curated record. The transcript is spliced from 3 exons. NCBI's taxonomy places the organism in Eukaryota, Metazoa, Chordata, Mammalia, Artiodactyla, Suidae.
UUCGCCCCCUUCCAAGGGGCUCGCUUUUCACCUGGAAGUAAUCUUGCCAACCGACCCACGCGGGCUCGCCGGCAGCGCUUUACGGCAGAAGCAGCGUGCCAUAAAGCAGGCCCGCUUUACGUCGCGCUUGUACGACAGGCGUUAAAACUUCCUGGUUUCCAUUCCGCCCCCUGGCGACGCUCUUUGGAAGCACAUGUACGCACGCCCAUCUUUUCUCUGAGCCCUAGAAGGAAGGCGGACAGGCUUCGGCUUCCCCAGGUGGGUACAAAGGUGCGUGGUGCUUUGCUCGUCACUUUCGGUUGUGAGAAUCGGCCUGCGUAAACGUGUAGUAGUGGAGGUGGUUGAAUGCAGUGCCUUUAUAUUAUGCCACAAUAAAAACGCAACCAGCCGUUAAGGGUGCGGGAGAUCUCAAGACUCCUCACAGCAGUUGACAAAUAGGUCUUGUUCAAAAGCCUGCUAUUUUAAAUGAGAAAAGGGAUGCUUAGAAAGGGUUACGUGCACACGAGCGAAAAAGGAGCUGGAAACCUAAGUCUGCUACGACCACAGGUUUUUUCCCCUAGGAUGUGCCACAGGUGUGGGGAGGCAAGGCUGAGAUUCGCGCCCUUCCCCUUCCCCUCAUUUUACUGAAGUAUCGCAGGGUCCCUGGUAAUUCAUCUAUUCCGACAUUUUUCAUGGUACUAGAGCAGAACUCCAUCCGGAGAGGUAAAGUGAUUUCCUAAGUCACCCAGAGAGACGGAGUUAGAGAAAGCAGUAAAGCCCAAUCAGGUGUCUCAAGACCGAACUCGAAGCCGGACGGAGCACUUUCAAAGGGGAAGUAACUGGAGCUUCCACUGCGGCCCAGCGGAUUAAGGACCUAACAUGGUCUCCGUGAGGAUGCAGGGAAAGUUCUUGGUAAAACCCACGCGAAGAAGAUGCCUGUGCCAAUUAGUAGAGUCCUUAGGAAGAUGUUUAACGUGUUCUGCUGUUCACUGCAUUUCUCCUGAAUACAUCGUUGGAUCUAGAACUUCGAUCACACUUCACUGUAGUUGCUGUUUUAGCCUCCAUCAGGAGGUGUAGCUCAUCUAGUUGCCUUUCAUUUUGUGAUAUUUCCAGUGAUUGAUAAUUAGUGUCUAAAUUUAUUCAUUCAUUAGAGGUCACGUUGUUAUUCUGUCAUAAGGGAAGAUAUUCUAACACUAUCAUUUUUUUCUUCACUUACUUGCUGGACUCUUUCUGUGAAGACAGACUUCCUCUAAAUUUUGUUUACCCAAUGGUACUGUUUGUAUAGGAAGGCAGAAGAAAUGCUUGAUUCUCUCCCUUCAGUUACUAACUUCCAACAUAAGGAGUCAAUUCAGUAGAUCUUCUAAUGCUGAUUGAUCAAGCGUUUUGUUUUGGUUUUUUUUGUUUGUUUGUUUUGUUUUGUUUUUUUGUCU